RNAcentral lists this ribosomal RNA (486 nucleotides) under uncultured bacterium. Its description in RNAcentral is "partial 16S ribosomal RNA". It matches the Rfam family "Bacterial small subunit ribosomal RNA", at positions 29 to 507 of the family's 1533-position model. The record is from RNAcentral.
AUUGAACGCUGGCGGCAUGCCUUACACAUGCAAGUCGAACGGCAGCACGGGUGCUUGCACCUGGUGGCGAGUGGCGAACGGGUGAGUAAUACAUCGGAACAUGUCCUGUAGUGGGGGAUAGCCCGGCGAAAGCCGGAUUAAUACCGCAUACGAUCUACGGAUGAAAGCGGGGGACCUUCGGGCCUCGCGCUAUAGGGUUGGCCGAUGGCUGAUUAGCUAGUUGGUGGGGUAAAGGCCUACCAAGGCGACGAUCAGUAGCUGGUCUGAGAGGACGACCAGCCACACUGGGACUGAGACACGGCCCAGACUCCGACGGGAGGCAGCAGUGGGGAAUUUUGGACAAUGGGCGAAAGCCUGAUCCAGCAAUGCCGCGUGUGUGAAGAAGGCCUUCGGGUGGGAAAGCACUGUUGUCCGGAAAGAAAUCCUUGGCCCUAAUACGGUCGGGGGAUGACGGUACCGGAAGAAUAAGCACCGGCUAACUACGUG